Molecule: ribosomal RNA, 332 nt
Filed under: Clostridia bacterium
Lineage: Bacteria; Bacillati; Bacillota; Clostridia
Description: bacterial SSU rRNA
Rfam family: Bacterial small subunit ribosomal RNA
Source: RNAcentral
AAACUUAAGAGUUUGAUUCUGGCUCAGGAUGAACGCUGGCGGCGUGCUUAACACAUGCAAGUCGAAUGUAGCAAUACAUGGCGGACGGGUGAGUAACGCGUGAGCAACCUGCCCAUAUCUGGGGGAUAACAGUUGGAAACGACUGAUAAUACCGCAUAAUAUCACCGGAAGGCAUCUUCUGGUGAUCAAAGAUUUAUCGGAUAUGGAUGGGCUCGCGUCUGAUUAGCUUGUUGGUGAGGUAACGGCUCACCAAGGCGACGAUCAGUAGCCGACCUGAGAGGGUGAUCGGCCACAUUGGAACUGAGACACGGUCCAAACUCCUACGGGAGGCA